Molecule: long non-coding RNA, 292 nt
Filed under: Setaria italica (foxtail millet)
Lineage: Eukaryota; Viridiplantae; Streptophyta; Magnoliopsida; Poales; Poaceae
Description: long non-coding RNA (SITA_LNC000551)
Source: RNAcentral
UGGGCGCCCGCGCGCGGCAUGACGACCGCCACCGCCAUCGUCGCCGGGCACGGCCUCGCCCUGCGCCGGAGCCUCCCGCUCCCUAACCCUCCAGGGAGACCCACCACGGUCUCCCUCUCUGCGCGGUCCCUCCCGCACGCACGCCGCCGCACGAUUGUUCCGGUCAGCCCAUCGCCGCGGCGGCCGUGCCGGUGCCGGUCCAUCUCCUCCGAGAGCUCCACCGCCGCCUCCGCCGCGUCCGACACCGUCGAAGAAGAUGCGGAGCCCGCUGAGACCUACGACGAGGACGAGG